Molecule: transfer RNA, 106 nt
Filed under: Penicillium polonicum
Lineage: Eukaryota; Fungi; Ascomycota; Eurotiomycetes; Eurotiales; Aspergillaceae
Rfam family: tRNA
About the family: Transfer RNA (tRNA) molecules are approximately 80 nucleotides in length. Their secondary structure includes four short double-helical elements and three loops (D, anti-codon, and T loops). Further hydrogen bonds mediate the characteristic L-shaped molecular structure. tRNAs have two regions of fundamental functional importance: the anti-codon, which is responsible for specific mRNA codon recognition, and the 3' end, to which the tRNAs corresponding amino acid is attached (by aminoacyl-tRNA synthetases). tRNAs cope with the degeneracy of the genetic code in two manners: having more than one tRNA (with a specific anti-codon) for a particular amino acid; and 'wobble' base-pairing, i.e. permitting non-standard base-pairing at the 3rd anti-codon position.
Source: Rfam by way of RNAcentral
GGUUCUGUAGUGUAGUGGUGAUCACUCUGGUUUUUGAAACGAAUUUACUUUAAGGUGGAUUUAAUGAAAAAUACCAGAAACCCCGGUUCGAACCCGGGCAGGACCU